GCUGAGCACAGUGGCACAUGCUUGUAUUCCCAGAACUUGGGAGGCUGAGGCAGGAAGAGCUCUUGGGCCCAGGAGUUUGAGGUCAGCUUGGACAACAAGGCGAGACCCUGUCUCAG
Molecule: small RNA, 116 nt
Filed under: Marmota monax (woodchuck)
Lineage: Eukaryota; Metazoa; Chordata; Mammalia; Rodentia; Sciuridae
Source: RNAcentral